RNAcentral lists this ribosomal RNA (127 nucleotides) under Salmonella enterica subsp. enterica serovar Enteritidis. RNAcentral describes it as "partial 23S ribosomal RNA". It matches the Rfam family "Bacterial large subunit ribosomal RNA", at positions 2800 to 2925 of the family's 2925-position model. Lineage: Bacteria; Pseudomonadati; Pseudomonadota; Gammaproteobacteria; Enterobacterales; Enterobacteriaceae. The record is from RNAcentral.
UGAGAGUUAGAUUCUCCUUAAGUAACUUUGAUGACGAAGAUGUUGAUAGGCCGGGUGUGUAAGCGCAGCGAUGCGUUGAGCUAACCGGUACUAAUGAACCGUGAGGCUUAACCUUACAACGCCGAAG